This 500-nucleotide ribosomal RNA is filed under the name uncultured bacterium. RNAcentral describes it as "partial 16S ribosomal RNA". It matches the Rfam family "Bacterial small subunit ribosomal RNA", at positions 30 to 523 of the family's 1533-position model. The record is from RNAcentral.
AUUGAACGCUGGCGGCAGGCCUAACACAUGCAAGUCGAGCGGAUGACGGGAGCUUGCUCCUUGAUUCAGCGGCGGACGGGUGAGUAAUGCCUAGGAAUCUGCCUGGUAGUGGGGGACAACGUUUCGAAAGGAACGCUAAUACCGCAUACGUCCUACGGGAGAAAGCAGGGGACCUUCGGGCCUUGCGCUAUCAGAUGAGCCUAGGUCGGAUUAGCUAGUUGGUGGGGUAAUGGCUCACCAAGGCGACGAUCCGUAACUGGUCUGAGAGGAUGGUCAGUCACACUGGAACUGAGACACGGUCCAGACUCCUACGGGAGGCAGCAGUGGGGAAUAUUGGACAGUGGGCGAAAGCCUGAUCCAGCCAUGCCGCGUGUGUGAAGAAGGUCUUCGGAUUGUAAAGCACUUUAAGUUGGGAGGAAGGGCAGUAAGUUAAUACCUUGCUGUUUUGACGUUACCGACAGAAUAAGCACCGGCUAACUCUGUGCCAGCCGCCGCGGUAA